GUGUUUGCUUCAGCAGCACGUAUACUAAACUUGGAACAAUACAGAGAAGAUCAGCAUGGCCCUUGUGCCAGGAUGACAGAAUGUAAGGACAGCAGAACAGAAACUAU
Acomys russatus (golden spiny mouse) is the source of this 107-nucleotide small nuclear RNA. Lineage: Eukaryota; Metazoa; Chordata; Mammalia; Rodentia; Muridae. The record is from RefSeq and is a predicted model, not a curated record.